Molecule: long non-coding RNA, 865 nt
Filed under: Carassius auratus (goldfish)
Lineage: Eukaryota; Metazoa; Chordata; Actinopteri; Cypriniformes; Cyprinidae
Description: lncRNA (ENSCARG00000055636.1)
Source: RNAcentral
AUGUUGCAGUAUAACUUGAGGUUGCAUAGGUUUCCACAAAAUUCAAGAUCUGUCUGUGGGAGUCUUCCAGCACAAGGUCCCUCUGGUGUGAGGAGUCCAGGUCACGGAGAGCACAGGGAAAUGCCGCAUUGGGUGGAAAAACAAGCGCAGAGGCCCCUGCAUUCCCAAGACCAACUUUUCUAAUUUCCAAACUCUGGAACAUGCACUCACCGAAACGGGAGCUUGGUCCUAACUAUAAACUAGUAAUGAUGUGCUGAAAGGUGAAUGGGUUAUGAUUAACAUUAUUGAAAUAAAUUCUUAUUGAAACAUUUAUUUUUGUAUCCAUUUGUUCAGGAUUUAGAAAAAUAUGGGAGAACUAACCAUGUUUUAGGGUGACUGAACUUUCGCCCAGCAAAACUGCAAUGACUACAUCUUCCUCUAGAACUUGUGUUCUUUGACUGAGUUUAGCAUGAGCCCUGGCCAGAACCAGAAAAAGGUCAUGUGUAUGAAAUGGUCAUAUUUCUACUUGUAUGGUGUGCUGCUUCAUCUGCAUAAUCGAAGAUUAAUACAAUUAGAUAAUUAUUUUUAGAUUUGUAUGUUCAUUAGCUAAAUAUUAAAGUUUUGGAAAAGACCAUCUCUAAAUAAACUGACAUCGUAAUGUAAAUAUAAUAAAAAAAAAUAACAAUUGUUCAGCCCUUUUGGAAACUACGUGCUGGAUUUGUAGACUUGUUAUAUAACUGCUCCAUCUAGUGGUAUAAAUCAGGCAUUCAUAUAUAGCUGUGGGUAUUUUGUUUUUGUAGCACUUACAUCAGUUUGACAGUGACUGAAACUGGAUCUCUCUGAGUCUGAACAAACCCUGUGACUGCCCAUGUAAUGGCUGUGGAUC